RNAcentral lists this ribosomal RNA (377 nucleotides) under uncultured eukaryote. Its description in RNAcentral is "partial 18S ribosomal RNA". It matches the Rfam family "Eukaryotic small subunit ribosomal RNA", at positions 592 to 976 of the family's 1831-position model. The record is from RNAcentral.
CAAUAGCGUAUAUUAAAGUUGUUGCAGUUAAAAAGCUCGUAGUUGGAUUUCGGGGCAGCCUGGCUGGUCCGCCGCAAGGCGAGUACUGGUCAGCCGCCCUUCCUCUCGAAAGCCCCGACUGCUCUUCGUUGCAGUGGUCGGGUAGUUCGGGACGUUUACUUUGAAAAAAUUAGAGUGUUCAAGGCAGGCCUACGCCUGAAUACAUUAGCAUGGAAUAAUGGAAGAGGACCUCGGUCCUAUUUUGUUGGUUUCCAGGGCCGAAGUAAUGAUUAAGAGGGACAGUUGGGGGCGUUCGUAUUUAAUUGUCAGAGGUGAAAUUCUCGGAUUUAUGAAAGACGAACAACUGCGAAAGCAUUUGCCAAGGAUGUUUUCAUUAA